CUUAGAGUAGUUGUAACUUCCCCAUUAUAUUUUUCUUAUUUAAUAUCAAAAUAUUUAAAUUAAUUCUGCAAAUAAUGAACCCACAAAUAGUGAAGAUCUGGCUGCAUCUGUAGAUUUAAUUUUAUUUAAGUCAAGUAGUUUUUAAAAUUAUUUAAAACUUUAAUGAAUACAUUUGGCAACAUUUUAGGAACUAGAUCAUUAGGAUUCCCUUUUUUUGCUAUUGUAAUCAAUCUUUAAAUACAUGUGUACUGCUUAAAUCCUUCGUAUUUCCAUUUAACAAACAUAGAAUAAGAAUGAGUUUUGGCAGCUUGAAAUAUUGGUAAAGUUGUUUUUUGAUGUAUAUAAACAAAAAUUCUGAAACAAUUAUAGUGUGCUUCGAUACAGUCUUUAAACUUUUCUAGUCACAAGAGUUUACUAAUUUACUAGUUUGUAGUGCUCCAUAAAAGGUGUAGAUCUGAAAUCUUUCCUUGACAUGACCAACAGUACCCAGAGCAUAUUAAUCUAGACUUUUCUUCUUGUUUAAUUCAGCACUGUGCUUUGCACUCACAGGACAUUGCAUAUUACCAAGCCUUGUCUGCUGAGAGGUUGCAGACAGAUGCCGCAAAGAUUCACCCCAGCACAUCAGCGUCCCAGGAGUUGUAUGAACCAGGAUUGGAGCCAUCUGCUACUGCCAAACUGGGUGAUUUGCAGCGUUCUUGGGAAACCUUAAAGAAUGUGAUCAGUGAGAAGCAGCGCACACUCUAUGAAGCUUUGGAACGCCAGCAGAAGUACCAGGACUCCCUCCAGUCCAUCUCUACGAAGAUGGAGGCCAUUGAGCUGAAACUCAGUGAGAGCCCAGAGCCCGGCAGGAGUCCAGAAAGCCAGAUGGCUGAACAUCAGGUACAAAUAGCCAUGACUUCAGUUUCCUGCUUGAUUAAAUAAGUGCACUCUUGUGACUGUUUGGCCUGUCAGGCAUGUGUUUGAGAUAGCCAGUUGACUUUUUUUUUUUUUUUUUUUUUAACCUUAUCAGUUCUUCCAGAGUAAACAAGAGUCCUAAUGAUGGUUGUUUCUACUGCUGAUUCAGGCAGGGAUCUGAGAAAGAGAGAGAGAGAGAGAGAGAUUCAGACUUUGAAUCUAAUUAAAGAAAGCUACAUGCAUUGAUGUUGCUUUUUAACUUUGAUUACACAAAAUGUGUUUCCUUAGAGUUGCCAGGUUAUAUUGGUUUUGUUGUGAGCCAUUGUUGUAAGAAUAAAAUAUACUCCAAAUCUACCUUUUCUGGAUAUUGUUGUUUUAAGAAACUUAGCCAGGGGGUGUCCCUCCAUUAUUACUUCAGAAAAUAUGUCUCAGGCUUCAUAAGUUCUGAGUCUCAUCUUGUGAUUGUCCCUGACUUAAAUCAUUUUUUAGAAGGUUAGACUAGGCAAAAAAUUAGAGAUCAUUACAUUAACCUAAUGCAGAAAGAUAAUGUUAAAAAUGUGUCCAUUUAAAAUGCAUGCUAAGAAAUGUUUAGAAAUUAAAAUCUGGUUAAUACUUUGGCAGUCUGAUGAGGUAUGCUGUUAAAAUUAUAUUUAUUUGGUAUAAGUAGGGUCUUAGGAUACUGAGGCACACAUUCUCCUACAUAUUCAUCACCCUGAUGUAGGAAAAUGCUGCCUGUCUGGGACAAGAACCCAGGAGCGUUGACAGUCCUUCAGAAGGCAGGAGGGAAGAAAGAUAUUUUUAGAUGUUAAUUAAGAGCUAUGAAAGCAUGGCUUUCAAGCAUGUUUAUCAAAGACAGGGUAACUUAACAGCUUUAAGAG
Molecule: long non-coding RNA, 1772 nt
Organism: Cercocebus atys (sooty mangabey)
Lineage: Eukaryota; Metazoa; Chordata; Mammalia; Primates; Cercopithecidae
Exons: 2
Source: RefSeq, a predicted model, not a curated record